Molecule: ribosomal RNA, 835 nt
Filed under: uncultured eukaryote
Lineage: Eukaryota
Description: bacterial SSU rRNA
Rfam family: Eukaryotic small subunit ribosomal RNA
Source: RNAcentral
GGCAAUAGUGCUGCAGUUAAAGCUCGUAGUUGAAUUUCUGGUGCUCACGACCCUUGCCUCCUGUGGGGCUAUGGGUGGGCAUCCGUUUGCCUGCUGCACUCACGCUUCGCUGGUUCGGUGUCGGACGCUGAGUCUUUACUUUGACAAAAUUAAAGUGAUACUGGCCGGCUUUUGCCCAAACUCGUUAAUUUGGAAUAGUGAAAUUGGACUCUGACUCCUGUGCUAUUUUAUUGGAUCUGAGACAUGAUUAAUGAUUACAAUUAACAGGCAUUAGGCUUUCAUUGUUCAAUGUGAAAUUCUUGGAUUUGUAUUUACUAACUUAUAACUUCUGCUUUGCCAAGGAUGUUUUCAUUAAUCAUUAACGAAAACGAAAGGAUAAAAGCUCAUCAAAUACCGUUGUAUUCUUAACUAUCAACUAUACCGACUCCGAAUUGGGAUUGCAUUUUAGCUCUUGAUGACUCCUGCGACACCUUAUGACUUUGGGAUCUGGUGGGAGCAUAGUCGAGUAGGUUAAACUUGCUGAAACUGACAGAAAGUGACCACCGGGCACGAACCUGGCUGCUCACUGCGACUCAAUUUGGCUCAACUUACCAAGACUUAACAUGUCCAGACUUGACAGAGAGAGAGCUAUUGCUAGAUCCUAUGUGAGUCUAUGCAUGGUCGUGCAUAGUCGGUCUAGUGAUGUGGAUGGAUUAGUCCGGUUACUUCCGAUACCUUACCCUACCUCAUACAGGUACAUGUCUGUACUCUACUCUUAUAUCUUCAUCUACGGACAUUGACUAUGAAUACAUAGAACAUGGAAGUAAUAGCAAAUCUGUGGUGUGCUUAGAUCUUC